GAAAGAUCGGCGCCCGGCGACGGAGCCUCGGUGCGGACACCCGCUCUUAGCUUCGCGGACCGGGCACGAGGAU
This 73-nucleotide small RNA is filed under the name Sinorhizobium meliloti 2011. RNAcentral's name for it is "putative ncRNA". Lineage: Bacteria; Pseudomonadati; Pseudomonadota; Alphaproteobacteria; Hyphomicrobiales; Rhizobiaceae. The record is from RNAcentral.